GAUGAACGCUGGCGGCAUGCUUUACACAUGCAAGUCGGACGGGAAGUGGUGUUUCCCGUGGCGGGCGGGUGAGUAACGCGUAAGAACCUGCCCUUGGGAGGGGAACAACAGCUGGAAACGGCUGCUAAUACCCCGUAGGCUGAGGAGCGAAAGGAGGAAUCCGCCCAAGGAGGGGCUCGCGUCUGAUUAGCUAGUUGGUGAGGUAAUAGCUUACCAAGGCCGUGAUCAGUAGCUGGUCCGAGAGGAUGAUCAGCCACACUGGGACUGAGACAAGGCCCAGACUCCUACGGGAGGCAGCAGUGGGGAAUGUUCCGCAAUGGGCGAAAGCCUGACGGAGCAAUGCCGCGUGGAGGUAAAAGGCCUACGGGUCAUGAACUUCUUUUCCUGGAGAAGAAACAAUGACGGUAUCUGGGGAAUAAGCAUCGGCUAACUCUGUG
RNAcentral lists this ribosomal RNA (437 nucleotides) under uncultured bacterium. RNAcentral's name for it is "partial 16S ribosomal RNA". It matches the Rfam family "Bacterial small subunit ribosomal RNA", at positions 28 to 507 of the family's 1533-position model. The record is from RNAcentral.